GGGGGGGGGGGGGGUUUGGGGGGUAUAAUGCUUCUUUGGAACACCAACUUUGUUGCCAUCACUUGCAAGCAUCAAUCUUUGCAAGAACUUCAUGUGAUGAUUAAGGUUAAUGUUGAGGAGUUUGGGGAGUCCGUCGGUACAACAUAACUUCCACGAAACAAAUGGUGCAGCUGACACCUUGUUUGGAUUUGGUUCCUCGAUAACAUCGACCAGCUCUUCACCCAUUUUGUUAUCUCCUCUCGACAUCGUUGCAGCCCAAUUGAAACAGGACCGUGAAGGAGCGUUUACUAAUAGACUUAUCUCUAGGUCAUCUUAUAAUAAGUUAGUUUCUGUAGGGAACCGAUCUGUGUUGUCAAGUGUUGGUACUAGUAUGUUUGUUUGUCAAGUUUCUACUGUAAUUUCGAACUCUAGUUCUAAUACUACUUUAGUUUCGAACUCUAGUUCUAGUACUACUUUGGUUUCUGCUAGGAACUGCAGUACACUUACUGUUGCUUGUAACUCUUUAACUCUAUAGUAUUAUAUAUAUAAAUAUUUCGUUCUAGCAAAAAGAAAUUGUGAACUUGUCAAAUGUCACAAGUUAACCAUCGUUAGUUUUUUUUUUGCUUGAAACAUUUGUGAGAGUGCAUAACACAUAUUUUAACUUCAAGCUAUGUGAAUCCUGUACUUACGUAUAUUUGUUGAUGUUUGUCAUUUUUUUAAUUUCCGAAGUGAUUGGACCAUGAUAACAUUUAUUACUGAAUAAAAAAUUGAGUCCAACAAGAAAACUUGGUCCAAAAUGAUCUAAGAGUGAAAAGAACAAAAGGGAAAGUAAAAGAAAAAAAAGCAAAACUCGAAAACGAAAGUAAGCGAAAGAGAAAGAAAUUCAAUCGCUGCUUCUCCAUGUUCGUCGUUUGGACCAGAUCGAUGGUGUCAAUUCACUGAUGAAGAAGCACAAGACCAGCUGAGUUACUAAAUCGAUUCAUUCUUCCACCAUAGAUAUCUAGCAUGAAGAAUUUGGGCGGAUUGCUCAAUGGGCAUUCAAAAACUCUCACAAAUGCCAAGUCAAUCCAAUCUCCUUGAAGACGUCUUCAACUCCUCAGCUACAGAUCCAGAAAAAAAAAAGAAAUCCUCAGCUAAAAUAACUCUACAGUCAUCUACCAAUCAGGUAUAAUUGAAGAGAAAACCCUUUCAGUGUAGCAACAACAAACGAUUCCCUAAUUGAGUAUUUACGGGUUACAUUAGGGUGCAUUACUUUGAUGUUUUUCACUUUAAUUAUAUAAUAAUUUUUAAUUUUUUACUGUUAGUUGUGUA
Capsicum annuum is the source of this 1290-nucleotide long non-coding RNA. RefSeq lists it as uncharacterized. Lineage: Eukaryota; Viridiplantae; Streptophyta; Magnoliopsida; Solanales; Solanaceae. The transcript is spliced from 2 exons. The record is from RefSeq and is a predicted model, not a curated record.